GACGAACGCUGGCGGCGUGCUUAACACAUGCAAGUCGAACGGUGAAGCGAGUGCUUGCACUCGUGGAUCAGUGGCGAACGGGUGAGUAACACGUGAGUAACCUGCCCAUCACUCUGGGAUAAGCACUGGAAACGGUGUCUAAUACUGGAUACGACCAACCCUUGCAUGGGGUGUUGGUGGAAAGAUUUAUCGGUGAUGGAUGGACUCGCGGCCUAUCAGCUUGUUGGCGGGGUAAUGGCCCACCAAGGCGACGACGGGUAGCCGGCCUGAGAGGGUGACCGGCCACACUGGGACUGAGACACGGCCCAGACUCCUACGGGAGGCAGCAGUGGGGAAUAUUGCACAAUGGGCGAAAGCCUGAUGCAGCGACGCCGCGUGAGGGAUGACGGCCUUCGGGUUGUAAACCUCUUUCAGCAGGGAAGAAGCGAAAGUGACGGGACCUGCAGAAGAAGCACCGGCUAACUACG
RNAcentral lists this ribosomal RNA (467 nucleotides) under uncultured bacterium. RNAcentral's name for it is "partial 16S ribosomal RNA". It matches the Rfam family "Bacterial small subunit ribosomal RNA", at positions 28 to 505 of the family's 1533-position model. The record is from RNAcentral.